Long non-coding RNA from Sapajus apella (tufted capuchin), 848 nucleotides. RefSeq lists it as uncharacterized. The transcript has 2 exons. NCBI's taxonomy places the organism in Eukaryota, Metazoa, Chordata, Mammalia, Primates, Cebidae. The record is from RefSeq and is a predicted model, not a curated record.
CCUCUUGGAGAGUACCUCUUUCCAUAUAUUGAGAAAAGAAAUCUCACUGUGAUUUCUUUUGAGAACAGUGGUUCUCAAAAUUUGAAAUCAGAACCAGCAGCAUUAUCUGGGAACUUGUGAGAAAUGCCAGUUCUCAGAUCCCAGCCCAAACAUACUGACUGAGGAACUCUGAAAGUGGCUCCCAGCUACCUGUGUUUUAAUGAGCCCUCCAGGAGAUUCUGACGCACCUAAACUUUGAGCACCACGGACAGACCAUGGUAUGGUUUUCAGACAGCAAUACUGCUUCCAAUAAUGUUGAGGACAGUGAUAAAAGGACAAAAGAGUAAGUUUAAAGAGGUUUCCUCCGGCUAAAUUAGAAUUUAAGGAUUAAAAUUUACGUACUUAAUUGGUACAAGUUGAGUUUGUGAAAGGUUGUAAAAUCAUGAUGUUACUUGGAAGAGAAAAAAAUAAAGUAUGUGGAAAAAUUAGUUGUAUAAUAGCAUAUAAUAUUUAGUUAAAAAAUUAAUUUUAAUAAGUAAGGGAGUAGUAACAUCAGGCUGCUAGGUUCUUCUAUUAAGUUUCUAUUUUAUAAAAGAUAAAUAUGCAUUUUAAUCUUUUUUCCUUGUUUUAAGUAGGUACAUAGCUGCAAUAAUGUGCCUCUCAGAUUUCCCUCUGUCUGCAGAAAGUGUAACUGACCAAGAGCCCCAACUGCUAGCUUUGGAAUCUAUCACCUCAAUGAGCCAGGCUGUGCUUUCUCAUGCGCGGCUCCCAGAUAAUGACUGAGUGAGGCAGAGAUAACUGCUGAGGCCCAUUCCUGGGCAGGACUCCUUUGACAGGCAUUUCCUGUAAUAAAUCUCUUACACAUUUAA